This 430-nucleotide ribosomal RNA is filed under the name bacterium. RNAcentral's name for it is "partial 16S ribosomal RNA". It matches the Rfam family "Bacterial small subunit ribosomal RNA", at positions 355 to 776 of the family's 1533-position model. The record is from RNAcentral.
UGGGGAAUAUUGGACAAUGGGGGGAACCCUGAUCCAGCCAUGCUGCGUGUGUGAAGAAGGCCUUUUGGUUGUAAAGCACUUUAAGCGAGGAGGAGGCUACCGAGAUUAAUACUCUUGGAUAGUGGACGUUACUCGCAGAAUAAGCACCGGCUAACUCUGUGCCAGCAGCCGCGGUAAUACAGAGGGUGCAAGCGUUAAUCGGAUUUACUGGGCGUAAAGCGCGCGUAGGUGGCCAAUUAAGUCAAAUGUGAAAUCCCCGAGCUUAACUUGGGAAUUGCAUUCGAUACUGGUUGGCUAGAGUAUGGGAGAGGAUGGUAGAAUUCCAGGUGUAGCGGUGAAAUGCGUAGAGAUCUGGAGGAAUACCGAUGGCGAAGGCAGCCAUCUGGCCUAAUACUGACACUGAGGUGCGAAAGCAUGGGGAGCAAACAGG